GUAGGUUAUGGCGAUUUAUUCCCCUCUACGUAUUUCGGAAAAAUGGUUGGUGCACUUUGUGCGAUAUCCGGUGUGCUUGUGAUAGCACUUCCUGUACCUGUUAUAGUUAGUAAU
Non-coding RNA from Polyorchis penicillatus (penicillate jellyfish), 114 nucleotides. The record is from Rfam. NCBI's taxonomy places the organism in Eukaryota, Metazoa, Cnidaria, Hydrozoa, Anthoathecata, Polyorchidae.